This 985-nucleotide ribosomal RNA is filed under the name uncultured bacterium. RNAcentral's name for it is "bacterial SSU rRNA". It matches the Rfam family "Bacterial small subunit ribosomal RNA", at positions 21 to 1004 of the family's 1533-position model. The record is from RNAcentral.
GGCUCAGGAUGAACGCUGGCGGCGUGCCUAAUACAUGCAAGUCGAACGCGAGCAGCAAUGCUCGAGUGGCGAACGGGUGAGUAAUACAUAAGUAACCUGCCCUAGACAGGGGGAUAACUGCUGGAAACGGCAGCUAAGACCGCGUAGGUAUGGACACUGCAUGGUGACCAUAUUAAAAGUGCCAAGGCACUGGUAGAGGAUGGACUUAUGGCGCAUUAGCUGGUUGGUGAGGUAACGGCUCAUCAAGGCGACGAUGCGUAGCCGACCUGAGAGGGUGACCGGCCACACUGGGACUGAGACACGGCCCAGACUCCUACGGGAGGCGGCAGUAGGGAAUUUUCGGCAAUGGGGGGAACCCUGACCGAGCAACGCCGCGUGAAGGAAGAAGGAAUUCGUUCUGUAAACUUCUGUUAUAAAGGAAGAACGGCGGACAUAGGGAAUGAUAUCCGAGUGACGGUACUUUAUGAGAAAGCCACGGCUAACUACGUGCCAGCAGCCGCGGUAAUACGUAGGUGGCGAGCGUUAUCCGGAAUUAUUGGGCGUAAAGAGGGAGCAGGCGGCGGCAGAGGUCUGUGGUGAAAGACUGAAGCUUAACUUCAGUAAGCCAUAGAAACCGGGCUGCUAGAGUGCAGGAGAGGAUCGUGGAAUUCCAUGUGUAGCGGUGAAAUGCGUAGAUAUAAGGAGGAACACCAGUGGCGAAGGCGACGGUCUGGCCUGUAACUGACGCUCAUUCCCGAAAGCGUGGGGAGCAAAGGGGAUUAGAUACCCUAGUAGUCCACGCCGUAACCCUUAAAGGGGGAAGUGUUGGGAGUCAAAAAUCAGUGCUGCAGUUAACGCAAUAAGUACUCCGCUUGAGUAGUACGUUUGCAAGAAUGGAAAAUCAAAGGAAAUGACGGGGGCCCGCACAAGCGGUGGAGCAUGUGGUUUAAUUAGAAGCAACGCGAAGAACCUUACCAGGUCUUGACAUCCGGAUAAAGACCUCAGA